RNAcentral lists this ribosomal RNA (409 nucleotides) under uncultured prokaryote. RNAcentral describes it as "bacterial SSU rRNA". It matches the Rfam family "Bacterial small subunit ribosomal RNA", at positions 355 to 776 of the family's 1533-position model. The record is from RNAcentral.
UGGGGAAUAUUGCACAAUGGGCGCAAGCCUGAUGCAGCAACGCCGCGUGCGGGAUGACGGCCUUCGGGUUGUAAACCGCUUUCAGCAGGGACGAAGCGCAAGUGACGGUACCUGCAGAAGAAGCACCGGCUAACUACGUGCCAGCAGCCGCGGUAAUACGUAGGGGGCGAGCGUUACCCGGAAUCACUGGGCGUAAAGGGAGCGUAGGUGGCCUAACAUGUCAACUGUGAAAACCCGGAGCUCAACUCCGGACUUGCAGUUGAAACUGGUAGGCUUGAGGACGGUAGAGGAAGACGGAACUGCCAGUGUAGGGGUAAAAUCCUUAGAUAUUGGCAGGAACGCCGGUGACGAAGGUGGUUUUCUGGGCCGGUUCUGACACUGAUGCUCGAAAGCCAGGGGAGCGAACGGG